AGAGUUGAUCCUGGCUCAGAUUGAACGCUGGCGGCAUGCCUUACACAUGCAAGUCGAACGGUAACGCGGGGGCAACCCUGGCGACGAGUGGCGAACGGGUGAGUAAUACAUCGGAACAUAUCCAGUAGCGGGGGAUAACCUAUCGAAAGAUGGACUAAUACCGCAUACGAUCUACGGAUGAAAGCAGGGGACCGCAAGGCCUUGCACUAUUGGAGUGGCCGAUGUCGGAUUAGCUAGUUGGUGAGGUAAAGGCUUACCAAGGCGACGAUCCGUAGCUGGUCUGAGAGGACGAUCAGCCACACUGGAACUGAGACACGGUCCAGACUCCUACGGGAGGCAGCAGUGGGGAAUUUUGGACAAUGGGCGCAAGCCUGAUCCAGCCAUGCCGCGUGAGUGAAGAAGGCCUUCGGGUUGUAAAGCUCUUUCGGUGAAGACGAAACGGUUAGCGCUAAUAACGCUGACUAAUGACGGUACUCACAGAAGAAGCACCGGCUAACUACGUGCCAGCAGCCGCGGUAAUACGUAGGGUGCAGGCGUUAAUCGGAAUUACUGGGCGUAAAGCGUGCGCAGGCGGUUUGCUAAGACAGGUGUGAAAUCCCCGAGCUUAACUUGGGAAUUGCGCUUGUAACUGGCAAGCUAGAGUGUGGCAGAGGGGGGUGGAAUUCCACGUGUAGCAGUGAAAUGCGUAGAUAUGUGGAGGAACACCGAUGGCGAAGGCAGCCCCCUGGGUUAACACUGACGCUCAUGCACGAAAGCGUGGGGAGCAAACAGGAUUAGAUACCCUGGUAGUCACGCCCUAAACUAUGUCAACUAGUUGUCGGGGAAGAAAUUCCUUGGUAACGAAGCUAACGCGUGAAGUUGACCGCCUGGGGAGUACGGCCGCAAGGUUAAAACUCAAAGGGAUUGACGGGGACCCGCACAAGCGGUGGAUUAUGUGGAUUAAUUCGAUGCAACGCGAAAAACCUUACCUACCCUUGACAUGCUAGGAAGCCCGCAGAGAUGUGGGUGUGCCCGAAAGGGAACCUAGACACAGGUGCUGCAUGGCUGUCGUCAGCUCGUGUCGUGAGAUGUUGGGUUAAGUCCCGCAACGAGCGCAACCCUUGCCAUUAGUUGCUACAUUCAGUUGGGCACUCUAAUGGGACCGCCGGUGACAAACCGGAGGAAGGUGGGGAUGACGUCAAGUCCUCAUGGCCCUUAUGGGUAGGGCUUCACACGUAAUACAAUGGUCGGUACAGAGGGCUGCCAACCCGCAAGGGGGAGCUAAUCCCAGAAAGCCGAUCGUAGUCCGGAUUGUAGUCUGCAACUCGACUGCAUGAAGCCGGAAUCGCUAGUAAUCGCGGAUCAGCAUGUCGCGGUGAAUACGUUCCCGGGUCUUGUACACACCGCCCGUCACACCAUGGGAGUGGGUUCCACCAGAAGUAGUUAGCCUAACCGCAAGGAGGGCGAUUACCACGGUGAGAUUCAUGACUGGGGUGAAGUCGUAACAAGGUA
This 1491-nucleotide ribosomal RNA is filed under the name metagenome. RNAcentral's name for it is "bacterial SSU rRNA". It matches the Rfam family "Bacterial small subunit ribosomal RNA". The record is from RNAcentral.